CCUAACACAUGCAAGUCGAACGAGAAAGCGGGGGCAACUCCGCGAGUAAAGUGGCGACCGGGUGAGUAACACGUGACUAACCUGCCCUCGAGCGGGGGAUAACCCCGGGAAACCGGGGCUAAUACCGCAUAACAUCUUCGAUAUGAAAGUAUUGAGGAUCAAAGGAGCAAUUCACUUGAGGAGGGGGUCGCGGCCGAUUAGCUAGUUGGCGGGGUAACGGCCCACCAAGGCUGAGAUCGGUAGCCGGCCUGAGAGGGCGCACGGCCACACUGGAACUGAAACACGGUCCAGACUCCUACGGGAGGCAGCAGUGGGGAAUUUUGCGCAAUGGGGGGAACCCUGACGCAGCAACGCCGCGUGGAGGAUGAAGUCCCUUGGGACGUAAACCCCUUUCGACCGGGAAGAUAAUGACGGUACCGGAAGAAGAAGCACCGGCUAACUCUGUGCCAGCAGCCGCGGUAAUACAGAGGGUGCGAGCGUNGUUCGGAAUUAUUGGGCGUAAAGGGCGCG
This 510-nucleotide ribosomal RNA is filed under the name uncultured bacterium. RNAcentral's name for it is "bacterial SSU rRNA". It matches the Rfam family "Bacterial small subunit ribosomal RNA", at positions 47 to 571 of the family's 1533-position model. The record is from RNAcentral.